Molecule: long non-coding RNA, 797 nt
Filed under: Malus domestica (apple)
Lineage: Eukaryota; Viridiplantae; Streptophyta; Magnoliopsida; Rosales; Rosaceae
Description: long non-coding RNA (MDOM_LNC002153)
Source: RNAcentral
GGAAGUUGAAUACAGGAUCCCACUUGUGCCCCCCCAUAACUCUUUUGAUAGAUGAUCCAAUUUCGUUGACUGUUUCGGUUGCAUCAUUCAGAGGAUAAUUGCAAUACAAUAUUGUUGUUAUGAACUAAACAUCGAAAAGAUAAAAUCAAAACUGGAAAGAUGAACGAGAUCAAACUGUGAAGUAUUGUGAUUAUCUUGUUGGCAAAUCAGGAUCACUGUAGUUUACAAGCCCGGUACUACCACACUGAUGUCCCCCUCGAGCAGUCGACAAAAGAAAUUGGGCAUCAACCGAACAAAAAAUUCAUAAAGUGAGUCAUAUCUUGGUUGGAGGAUUCAAAACUUCAAAAUCACUAUCUAUCAAUAAAAAAAAAUUGUUUUUCUCUAUGAGAGUUAUUAGGGUUUUAGCCAUUAUGAACGUAGGAUAAACAAAGAGUGAUAGUAGGGUUUAAUUAUAGUGUUUGGGUUUAUUGAUAAAUUUGAGUUUUAUUAUUAAUUUCAUUUUGUACUUAAUAGUAAUUAUGCAAUAGGGUAAAAUAGACAAUUAACAUUUAAAAUUUAAGUGGGGUGUAAAAAGAGGUUAAAUGGGUUUAAAUAAAAUUUCUCAAAAAAAAAAUAUGUGAAAAGUAAAACUAUGCCACAAAUUCAAAGUAAGUCAAACAUUUACUUACCAUGAGCAAGGCUUUGAGAUGAGUCAUGGUGAAAGGCGUCUUGGAAUCUCCUCCUUCCUUCUUUAAUUUCAACAAAAACGUCAAAAAAUCCUUAUUCCCCUCCUCCCCUUCCUUGUCAAUCCUCAGCCG